RNAcentral lists this small nuclear RNA (284 nucleotides) under Nannospalax galili (Upper Galilee mountains blind mole rat). RNAcentral's name for it is "7SK RNA (ENSNGAG00000005900.1)". It matches the Rfam family "7SK RNA". Rfam says of the family: 7SK was discovered as an abundant small nuclear RNA in the mid-70s but a possible function has only recently been suggested. Two independent studies have found that 7SK RNA binds the CDK9/cyclin T complex (known as elongation factor P-TEFb). The record is from Rfam by way of RNAcentral. Lineage: Eukaryota; Metazoa; Chordata; Mammalia; Rodentia; Spalacidae.
GGCUGUGGGAUGAUCUGACUAUGACAUCGGCAAUUCCAUUGAUUACCCCAGUUGAUGGGGCUGAUCUGGCUGACUAGCAGGUGUCCCUUCUUCCCUCACCACUCCAUGUGCCUCCCUCCUGAAGCUUCUGGGAGCUUAGCUGAAGAGAAUGAACUGCCCUGGUAGAGGGGGGUCUUCAGUCAAGGGUAUGUGAGGAGCUGCACUCCCCUGCUAGAACCUCCAAACAAGCUCUCGAGAAUCAUGAUGACAGUGGACUACCUUAAUGUGACAACAGGAAUUCUUCC